GCCCUGCUGAUGUCAUACCUGACCAUAUGACUUGCUCCAGCCAAUGAAAUGUGAGCAGAAGUGACAUGUGCAGCAUACUAGUAGAAGCUUUGAAGAGCUAUUGCCAAUUUCCACUCUCUCUCUGGAAACUGUCAUUAGGGUUAGGGAAACUGUCAUGAGAUCCGCAUAUUUUAGAUAGAGGCUGCUUGCCUUAGUUUGGGCCCCAAGGAAAAAGAUGUGGAGGCCAGGCGCAGUGGCUCAUGUCUGUAAUCCCAGCACUUUGGGAGGCCAAGGCGGGUGGAUCACCUGAGGUCAGGAGUUCGAGAUCAGCCUGGCUAGCAUGGCGAAACCCCGUCUGUACUAGAAGUGCAAAGACAAAGGGAACUGCAUGGCUUGUUUCUACCUGAACAUUGUCAAGUGAUUUCAUUCUUUGAAACAUGGGUGUGAAGUGUGUCCAGCAGUCUGAGAACAAGAAGAAGAAGACAAUAUAAUCCCUUAGGUGGCUGUGUGCCAGUCCUGCUCUCAGCACUUCCCAUGUGGAACUCCUUUACUUCUCCUAACAACUCCAUGACAUGGUUUAGACUGUGAUUGUUCCCAUAUUGUUGAUAGGGAAACUGAGGCAUGCAGGUGUUACAGAGCUCGCUCAAGUGGCAAGCUUUCUGGGUGGUUACAGAGUGGCAGAACUGGGGUAUCCCACGAUGUCACCACACUGCUAUAUGGAAAGGAACAUUAAUCGAGCACCUACGUGUUUGAUUCUCUUAAUUCUGUGACUGAACUCUCAAAAAACCCUGGGUUGGUUUCCUUUUUACAACUGCCCAAGUCAUGAGUUCAUAGGGCCUGGAUGGCUGAAACGGAUUGCUCUCCAGCUGGUCUCUCUGCAUCCAGAAAUUUCUACAACCUACUGGGGUAAAAUCUUUCCCAACCCUGCUUUUCAUCAUCACAUCUUAAAUACCUCGAGUUGGUUCCCUAUUGCCAAAAAAAAAAAAAUCCAUUGUCCAUGUAGGGUUCUUCUGCUGAAACGAGGGAAGAGAGAGUUAAAUGUUGGUAGGUGAUGUAGACAUAGUAAUUAGGCAAUGUAAUUAGAUGCUGUUGAAAGAGCUGAGCUAUGAAAUGCAUUGUGAUAAAGGGGCUGCCUAUGUAAGUAAAUGGGUAUAAUGAGGUGUAAAACUCUCUUUCUCUCUCUCUUUCUGCUUCAUAAGCCUUUCUGCUUCUCAAGUCCAGACCUGCUGUUUUUGGGGUUUCCUUCCAAUUUUUUUGCUGCUUCCCUGGGGCCUUGGCUCUUGGGCCUGCUGCCUCUUCCCACUCUGCACCUUUGGAUUCCUUAUCUUUGGCUCCACCUUAUUGCUCCAUUCUCCAAAGACAAAUCCAAGAGGCAUAAGAUUUUACAGAAUAUGGAGUUACAGAAACAGCAUAGGGAAGUGUAAAAGCCUAGAAGCUUCUUACAGAUGCAGCCCCUUGUCUGUAGCUCCUGAUUCCCACUUAAACGUCUGUUGGAAGCACCCUGGGGUAGCAGGACCCAGCUCAGAAGAUGGGGCUUAUCCACCAUGCCUUUUCCUAACCUGACACCCACCCAGAUCAUCUUUUCAACAUGCAAACUACAGCGUAUCACCCCCUGCUCAGAGCCUUUCUGUGACCUCCCAUUAUGCUUCACGGGACUCCUUGCUCCUUAGCCAGGUCUCCGGGUCCUCCGUGAUCAGGUCUCUGCUCUUCUGCAGCCUCAUCUCUGCCACUCUUCACCUUUUGUGCUCCAACCCAAUCUGGUUUUCUUCUCAUGCUUUGAACACCCCAAGUCUGUCUGCUUCAGGAGCUUUGUACUGGCUAAUCAUUCACCGUAGCAUACUCCCAUCUAUAGGGCUGGCUCUUAUAUUAUGGGUCUCAGCUAAAAUGUCAUCCCUUCAAAGAGACCUUCUUGGACCACCCCAGCCAUUCUCUUUCCUAUUUCCCUCUUUCAUUUUCUUUGAAGCUCUUACCCACUUUCAGAAACUGUCUGGCUUGCUCAUGUGUUUGUCUCUAGAUUGUCUGCUUCCCCUGCUAGACUGUACUCUCCACAAGAGAGCAAAGCUGUGUCUGUUGCAUUCACUGUUGUCUUCGCAGAAGCGAACAGCAUGCUGGAGACCCUCAAAUACAUGUGAAAUGAAGGGACACCUUGUGUUAUUUCACCUGUUUCCACCUGGUUCCCAAGUGGCAAGCUUGCAUUGUGGUUGCAAAGUGGCAAAGCUGGGAUAUCACAUGAUGUCACCAUGAUGCUAUAUGAAAUGUAACAUUAAUUGAGUACCUAUGUGACCAGUUCUUUAAUUCUAUAAUUGAACUCUCAAAAAACCCUAGGUAAGUAUUAUCAACUCCAACUUUAACAGAUGAGGAAACUGGAAUUUUUUAAAAAAUGACUUAACCAAACAUUACAGAGCUGUAAACCGGGAUUUGAAUGGGUGAGCUGCACUCAGCCUUCAUCUCAAGUCAGUUUGCCUCUUACUCCAAGAAGCCACAGUUGAUCCUGACCACAUCACAUAUGGGUUGCCAAGAUUGCAGUCAUUCAUUCACUAAGCAUCUUUUAGGAGGUCACAUGCCAGGCACCGUGUUAGGUAAUGAUUUCUCCAAGUCACAGGAGCCGUGGUUCUGACUUUAGAAAGUUUCUCAUCUGAUGGAAGGGCAGGCAAGUAAAUCAGUGAGGGUGGUCCCUGUCGGGACUCUCUGGUUGAGAAAUACCCAAAGUGCAAAGUGACAGGGACUAGAGGCAUCUCCAUUGGACCAGAGAGCUCUGGAUUCCUCUUGAGCUAAGUCUCUGGAGGUAGGUGUCAGCUACAAGGAGAAAAGCAGUAUAUUUUGAGAUGUGGGAUGCAGGGCCUUUUAGUUCCAUAAAUUAGAGAACCAUGGUGUGAAUACCGCAUGCCCUGGGCUGACCUAAGUGGGCUCUGGGGGAAGGUAUACUGGGCAGGGAGUUUGGAGAACUGGUUUCUGUCUAAUCCUUCUCUAACUCUGUGACCUUGAAUGCAUCACCUCCCCUCUGAGUCUCAGAUUCUCUUUCUGGCUGGCAUUUAAUGAAACCUAAAUAUUCUAGACCUUCUACUUGUUCCAUAAGUGCUCAGUCCUACACUCACUGUCCUCUGGCACCAAUAUACUGAUUACUCAUUUUAUGCCCAGCAGAGCACCACGUGUUUUGAAUUAUACAAAUAGUGGGAAACGAAAUCUUUGUUCUGGAUGCAAUUAUAAUUUGGAAAGCAAGGAAAUAAAUUAUAAUAAGGGGAAAAAGCAGACACAGAGGGAUUGAAAUGCAUAACAAUAGAGAUGAAACACGAAGAGUGAUAAAUGAAGAUUGAGUGUGCACACCUUCUGGAGGAGCCCUGAUUGAGUAUUUUAACACAGAAGUGGGUGAGAGCAAAGUUGUAUCAGAGUAGGACAAUGACACCAAGCCAGAUGGUUAUCAAAAUCCACAGGAACAAAUGAAGAGAACCAGAAAUUGCAAAUAAGAAGGACAGAGUACCAGAGAGGGAGAGAGAUGUACAGAGAAUUAUGGAGGUGGCUUCCCUUGAGUAUGCAGCUAAGUAAUGAUUAACGCAUACAUAUAAGAAACUACUGGAAGACAGAGAAAGAACCACAAGCAAUUAAAG
This is a long non-coding RNA of Nomascus leucogenys (northern white-cheeked gibbon), 3584 nucleotides long. RefSeq lists it as uncharacterized. The record is from RefSeq and is a predicted model, not a curated record. The transcript is spliced from 4 exons. Lineage: Eukaryota; Metazoa; Chordata; Mammalia; Primates; Hylobatidae.